This 609-nucleotide long non-coding RNA is filed under the name Gadus morhua (Atlantic cod). RNAcentral's name for it is "lncRNA (ENSGMOG00000034728.1)". Lineage: Eukaryota; Metazoa; Chordata; Actinopteri; Gadiformes; Gadidae. The record is from RNAcentral.
CGGCUCGGUCACCUACUCUGGAGGGAAAUGUUUUUCACACAUUGAGUUUAGAAAUCGCCUGAUGAAGGUACUCCUUGUAUCCGAAACGUCGCGAAUUAGUUUCUUUAAAAUAAAGAAACCUAUCUCUAUUGACCAUCUCGCCUUUUUUCUGAGUUUUUGAACAUCAUGCUAGCUUAGCAUAACUAGCCUACUACCAUGAGCGGCCAUCGAGGGUAACACUCCUGGCCGACGAUCCAGCAUGGAAGGUUCCGUACGGGUUACCGGAACCCUACCCUCCCACCGAUGAGCCAACGUGAUGUCCACCUGCCGCAGUCCCAACCCCACCGCAUGGAACGCAACUGCCCGACGGCGACGGGGAGCUACCGCCGCGGCCGGCUAGCACGUGGUGAUGGACGCCACCACGGCCUCUGGUACCGGAGCUCCGCCCGGACCUCCAGCUGCGUUCGGGCCUGGCGCGGCCGGUCGAUCAUCAGAUGCGGGCGGCCAUCUGAUGUACACGGCCCUUCCCUUGCCUCCACACACCCUACGACUACUCAUGACAACAUCCACUGGACUCCGGAGACGGCGAGAUUGAUGAUGAGGGACUGGUUGACCCAACUGGAUUUAUAG